AUACGUAGGCGGCAGCUACACAUGCAGUCGAACGGCAGCACAGAAGAGCUUGCUCUUUGGGUGGCGAGUGGCGGACGGGUGAGUAAUGUCUGGGAAACUGCCCGAUGGAGGGGGAUAACUACUGGAAACGGUAGCUAAUACCGCAUAACGUCGCAAGACCAAAGUGGGGGACCUUCGGGCCUCACACCAUCGGAUGUGCCCAGAUGGGAUUAGCUAGUAGGUGGGGUAAUGGCUCACCUAGGCGACGAUCCCUAGCUGGUCUGAGAGGAUGACCAGCCACACUGGAACUGAGACACGGUCCAGACUCCUACGGGAGGCAGCAGUGGGGAAUAUUGCACAAUGGGCGCAAGCCUGAUGCAGCCAUGCCGCGUGUAUGAAGAAUGCCUUCGGGUUGUAGCGAGUUCGUUUAAGUCGCC
This 416-nucleotide ribosomal RNA is filed under the name Pantoea sp. RNAcentral's name for it is "bacterial SSU rRNA". It matches the Rfam family "Bacterial small subunit ribosomal RNA", at positions 33 to 445 of the family's 1533-position model. Lineage: Bacteria; Pseudomonadati; Pseudomonadota; Gammaproteobacteria; Enterobacterales; Erwiniaceae. The record is from RNAcentral.